RNAcentral lists this unclassified non-coding RNA (249 nucleotides) under uncultured Pleosporales. RNAcentral's name for it is "sequence contains 5.8S rRNA gene, ITS2, 28S rRNA gene". Lineage: Eukaryota; Fungi; Ascomycota; Dothideomycetes; Pleosporales. The record is from RNAcentral.
AACGCACAUUGCGCCCCUUGGUAUUCCAUGGGGCAUGCCUGUUCGAGCGUCAUCUACACCCUCAAGCUCUGCUUGGUGUUGGGCGUCUGUCCCGCCUUCGCGCGUGGACUCGCCCCAAAUUCAUUGGCAGCGGUCUUUGCCUCCUCUCGCGCAGCACAUUGCGCUUCUCGAGGUGCUUGCGAACCGCGUCCACGAAGCAUCAUUACCGUCUUUGACCUCGGAUCAGGUAGGGAUACCCGCUGAACUUAA